AACGAGACGGAGAGACGGAGAAAGAGAGGGAGAGACGAACGAUAAGUGGAAUAACUAAUUGAAAACGAGGCGAUAAAAUAACAAAAUCACUAUUAAAUCAUCGUGAUAAAAGAAAGCACUGUUACGAUAGAAUAUUAUACGCAACAAAUUUUUUUUUUUUUAUUUUAUUUUGGCUUUUUUUACAAUUUGUCCUUAUAGACAUUUGGUAAAGUGUUAUAUCUUAUUGAUGAAAAAAAUAAAAAUAAAUAUAGCAUGUGGGUGGCUACCCCCAGCGGGGUGCCAGCUUAGUUUUUUCUAAAUUAUAUCUUUUAUGAGGUCUAUUGGGUGUUUCCUUUUUAGUCUUCUUACGAUAUUAACAAAUUGACUCGUAUUUGCACUCUGUGUAAUUGUUCAAAUUUCAAUAGUUCCUCUUCGCAUAUAAUUAAGAAGAAUUGCUGAUCCAAGUUUGGUGCCCUUCCUGCACCAUACGAUACUUAUCCUUCUCUUCUUACCAAGAGAAACAGAACGGAGGAUAGAGAAGAACUUUAUGUACAAGCCAAACAACGUUUCCUUCAAUUUGCCUGUAGAGGUGCGAGCUGGAUAAAAUUCAAGCGCAAAAGAAACAUGUAAAUUGCGUCGAUAUUUGCUGAUUUCUGACCUCUAAUGAUCGUUGUAAAUUGACCAAGGAACAAGUUGCUCGACGAACGUUUACGCUAAACGAGCGUAGGCGAGUGCUGCUUCUCUAUGUUCUAUGGUCGUUUCGUCUAAUCUUAACACUCUAAACAAAGACCUCGAGAAGUACCUUCAUUGCCACCACAUGAUUUCUCGCCAGUAACAAGCAACAUUGCUAUCAAGUUCGGAUAGUUUGGCAGAGAUCAGACACACCCAACAAUUUGCGUGUACUACAUGCGCUACGUAGCUGCACACUAUCGUUAUUGAUCCAUACGCACCGUUCUCUCCUUCUCGCUUUAUCCCUUUUCUCCGGCUCCUGGCAUCGCACAGAUAUGGCCUUCUUCUCACGAUUUCUUAUCAACAACGAAUACUGGCAUGUAUGAAUAUUAACGUGGCUAACUGUAAUCGUGAACCGACCAGCACACCGGCACAAGAGUCGAGAACUUGGACCGAUACGACGGUAACCAGGAGAACUUUAAACAUUACAGAGAGAAAUAAAAGAAGGAUAGAUCAAUGGAGUUUGCAUUUUCCAAAUAUGAUAUAUUCUCGAGCGAGUUGGAGCGCAUCGAGAGAUGGAGGAAGAGUAUCCGCCAUCGCGACGGUCGUAGCUGGUUUUUAACGUCCGCCGAUUCGAAGGAAAGGCCGGAAAGGCCGUCGAUUAUUAUGCAGGCGACAGACAAUUGCCAACGCUUCCCCUAUUAACAUAUAGCGAGAGUAAAAACGUGGCUGAAAUACACGACGCAGUUGGUGCGUCGCUCCAGUACCAGCUUUGCCUGUACACUCAGAUUUUAAUAAUCCAAUGAGAUAAACAAGCAUACGUACUAUAAUAUAUAACACGCGACGAUAGAAAAUUCAAUCACAAAUUAUUUCUCUAUCGGUAAAGAAAUGCGGAUGAUUCGGAUGGGUGUCGGAGUAGCAUGUAAGAAAGAAAGGGUUUGGCCCACUGUCCACGAAACGUCGUUUCAUAGACGCUCCCAUGCAACGAUCGUUGUAAAGUAACGCGCACCUAGUCACGAAACAGCAGCGAACCGUUCUCGUUGUUACGCAUUUUCAUCAUGACGAUUGGCGUUAAUAUAGCGCGUUCUCUAGCUGUUACAAACUAAUGUAGCGAUAUAGGACGAAAGCGUUUUCUCGUUGCUCGAUAUUUUAACGACGGGUCGAAACGUAUCUCGCUGUACAUUUGGCAGAGUACUAUCGUCGUCGCGUCUGCACUCGUCUACACUGACAGGUUUUGUCUGCGUUCAUCGUCCGCCGACAGUCGACAGAAGAUGUCAAACGCUGUUUAAGGGCAACGUCGUUUGUCCAACAGCAUCGACGCGAUGGAACAAGCGAACAAUGUGACCAUCGCCGACCCUGAAGUACAAAGAAAAGACUACCUUAAACCUUUUAAAUGCUAUUAAUAGUCAUUAAUAAGUCAAUAAUAAUGAUAAACACUUACUUUGUAGAAUCAUGUAAAUAUAAUUUUUUUUUUUAUUUUAUUUUAUUUUGGUUAUUUUACAAUUUGUCCUUAUAGACAUUUGGUAAAGUGUUAUAUCUUAUUGGUGAAGAAAAAAAAAAAAAAUAAAAAUAAAUAUAGCAUGUGGGUGGCUACCCCCAGCGGGGUGUCAGCUUCGUUUUUUUCUAAGUUAUAUCUUUUAUG
Bombus pascuorum is the source of this 2290-nucleotide long non-coding RNA. RefSeq lists it as uncharacterized. The record is from RefSeq and is a predicted model, not a curated record. The transcript is spliced from 2 exons. NCBI's taxonomy places the organism in Eukaryota, Metazoa, Arthropoda, Insecta, Hymenoptera, Apidae.